RNAcentral lists this unclassified non-coding RNA (410 nucleotides) under Hevea brasiliensis (rubber tree). Lineage: Eukaryota; Viridiplantae; Streptophyta; Magnoliopsida; Malpighiales; Euphorbiaceae. The record is from RNAcentral.
UUGCUGUUAGAUAUACAUUGAGCGGUAGAGCCUGGGGCCUAGUCUAUAACCAAAGGACGGCAAUGACAACCCAAAAAGACUUUGGUAAGGAAGCUCGGGAAGCUGCAUGGGCAGCCGAGCAGCGGACACUUCAUGGCCUCCGAUCUAUGGAAUCAAAUGUAUUCUCUGAAAAGCAUACUUUCACAGACAUCAGCAUCAUGGUUGAAGAAGCCAGAAGACGUGCAGAGAUUGCAAGAUUGAGGGAGCUUCACACCCUGAAAGGCAAAGUGGAGUUCUUUGCAAAGUUGAAGGAUUUGGAUAUUGAUGUGAACCCUCAUCACACUGUAUGAGUGAUGGUUACAUCACAAAAUUGAAGUGCUUUCCGGGGAACUGCUUAACCAGGAGAGGGUAGCCAAGCUGAUGAUUCCCAG